Long non-coding RNA from Helianthus annuus (common sunflower), 634 nucleotides. RefSeq lists it as uncharacterized. NCBI's taxonomy places the organism in Eukaryota, Viridiplantae, Streptophyta, Magnoliopsida, Asterales, Asteraceae. The transcript is spliced from 4 exons. The record is from RefSeq and is a predicted model, not a curated record.
CCCUCCUAAAUUUUCCCCCAAAUUAAACCCCAUAACCUAUUUCCCUCCUACUCCAAAAUUCAUCAUAAUCGUUUUCUGCUCUGGUUUACACCUCACGCUUCCUGUUCAUCUGCUUACAAAUCAUCAACGAAUAAACUUCCACUCAUUCACUGAUCAACACGCAAAUCAAGCAAAAGUUCUUCAGCGUUGGAGCGGAGCAGUCAUGAUUCUACUUGUCUAGGCAUCGAGCGUUAGAGAAACUGAGCAGGUCGGAGAUAAAGUUUUCCUCAAAAGCAUUCUAAACUCUACCGAGACUGUAGCAAGAGAAAGGGUCCAGAGCUUGGACCCAAAUGAUCUAGUUGGUGGUACAGAGAUUGGACUAGAAUGGUGUGAGGUAAACAUUCAAGUACCAAUAAAAAAAGAUGAAAACUUGGUAAGACCAUAUGGUUUAUUUUCUACAAUUCAAGAUUGUAUUGGUGCGUCCAUCGCAUGGCGCUAUCCAUUCAUCUCGGUAGUCCAUGAGGAUUGAGGACGUAUGAUGACUAAAGAUUUUAUGCUUCUUAUUUCUUUAAUUGCUUUUAAUUUCUUUGUACAAUGUUAAGACUUUAUGUUAGAUAAUUUUAUAACUUAUUUAUGGUUAGUGUUUUUGUUAUGA